UGCGUCGCCCUUCCUGCUAUCCGAUUGCUUUAUGCGACCUGAUUUCAGUAUUGCACGUGCUCCCGCUUUACUAGUGUGAUGGUACACUGUUGUUUCAGAUUUAUUACGUGCCAUGGUUGAUUAAAGUGAAACUUCGCCUACUGUUUUAGCUCAAUCCACUUACAAUUCAAGUCCCUAAUGAUUA
Molecule: long non-coding RNA, 184 nt
Organism: Mytilus californianus (California mussel)
Lineage: Eukaryota; Metazoa; Mollusca; Bivalvia; Mytilida; Mytilidae
Exons: 2
Source: RefSeq, a predicted model, not a curated record